GGAGCCUACGGGGGGCAGCAGUGGGGAAUAUUGCACAAUGGGGGAAACCUUGAUGCAGCAACGCCGCGUGAGUGAAGAAGUAUUUCGGUAUGUAAAGCUCUAUCAGCAGGGAAGAAGAUGACGGUACCUGAGUAAGAAGCCCCGGCUAACUACGUGCCAGCAGCCGCGGUAAUACGGAGGAUGCGAGCGUUAUCCGGAUUUAUUGGGUUUAAAGGGUGCGCAGGCGGAGGUGCAAGUCAGCGGUCAAAUUGCGGGGCUCAACCCCGUACUGCCGUUGAAACUGCAUCCCUU
RNAcentral lists this ribosomal RNA (291 nucleotides) under uncultured bacterium. Its description in RNAcentral is "partial 16S ribosomal RNA". It matches the Rfam family "Bacterial small subunit ribosomal RNA", at positions 334 to 643 of the family's 1533-position model. The record is from RNAcentral.